Molecule: ribosomal RNA, 478 nt
Filed under: uncultured bacterium
Lineage: Bacteria
Description: partial 16S ribosomal RNA
Rfam family: Bacterial small subunit ribosomal RNA
Source: RNAcentral
AAUGAACGCUGGCGGCGUGCUUAACACAUGCAAGUCGAACGAGAAGUGAAGACGGAAACCUUCGGGCGGAAGGCUUUAUUUCGAGUGGCGGACGGGUGAGUAACGCGUGGGUAACCUGCCGCAUACAGGGGGCUAACAGUUGGAAACGACUGUUAAUACCGCAUAAGACGACGGCACCGCAUGGUGCGGGGGUAAAAACUCCGGUGGUAUGAGAUGGACCCGCGUUCGAUUAGCCAGUUGGCGGGGUAACGGCCCACCAAAGCGACGAUCGAUAGCCGAUCUGAGAGGAUCACCGGACACAUUGGCACUGAGACACGGCCCAAACUCCUACGGGAGGCAGCAGUGGGGAAUAUUGCACUAUGGGGUAAGCCCUGAUGCAGCGACGCCGCGUGAGUGAAGAAGUAUUGCGGUAUGUAAAGCUCUAUCAGCAGGGAAGAAAAUGACGGUACCUGAGUAAGAAGCCCCGGCUAACUACGUG